This 397-nucleotide ribosomal RNA is filed under the name uncultured bacterium. RNAcentral's name for it is "bacterial SSU rRNA". It matches the Rfam family "Bacterial small subunit ribosomal RNA", at positions 521 to 916 of the family's 1533-position model. The record is from RNAcentral.
UAAUACGGAGGGUGCGAGCGUUGUCCGGAAUCACUGGGCGUAAAGGGCGCGUAGGCGGCCCGGUAAGUAGGGGGUGAAAUCUUGCGGCUUAACCGCAAGGCUGCCUUCUAGACUGCCAGGCUCGAGCACAGUAGAGGCAGGUGGAAUUCCCGGUGUAGCGGUGGAAUGCGUAGAGAUCGGGAAGAACAUCAGUGGCGAAGGCGGCCUGCUGGACUGUAGCUGACGCUGAGGCGCGACAGCGUGGGGAGCAAACAGGAUUAGAUACCCUGGUAGUCCACGCCGUAAACGAUGGGCACUAGGCGUCGGGGGGAGCGACCCUCCCGGUGCCGUCGCUAACGCAGUAAGUGCCCCGCCUGGGGAGUACGGCCGCAAGGCUGAAACUUAAAUGAAUUGACGG